ACUCAAAUGAAUUGACGGGGACCCGCACAAGCGGUGGAGCAUGUGGAUCAAUUCGAUACUAACCGAAGAACCUUACCCAGACUUGACAUCGAUUGCAAGCCUUAGAAAUAGGGCCCUCUUCCCAAAAGGAAGACAUGAAGACACUUGUUGCAUGGCUGUCGUCAGCUCGUGCCGUGAGGUGUACGGUUAAGUCCGCCAACGAGCGCAACCCUCGUCCUAUGUUGCCAGCAUGAAAGAUGGGAACUCAUAGGAGACCGCCGCCGUAAGUCGGAGGAAGGUGGGGAUGACGUCAAGUCAGCAUGGCAGUUACGUCUGGGGCUUCACACAUGCUACAAUGGGCGAAACAAAGGGCAGCAAUACCGCGAGGUGGAGCCAAUCUCAGAAAUACGCCCCCAGUUCAGAUUGCAGUCUGCAACUCGACUGCAUGAAGGCGGAAUCGCUAGUAAACGCAGGUCAGCUAUACUGCGUUGAAUACGUUCCCGGGUCUUGCACACACCGCCCGU
RNAcentral lists this ribosomal RNA (503 nucleotides) under uncultured bacterium. RNAcentral describes it as "partial 16S ribosomal RNA". It matches the Rfam family "Bacterial small subunit ribosomal RNA", at positions 899 to 1397 of the family's 1533-position model. The record is from RNAcentral.